UACGUAUGGGGCAAGCGUUAUCCGGAUUUACUGGGUGUAAAGGGAGCGUAGGCGGCGGGGCAAGCCUGAUGUGAAAGCCCGGGGCUCAACCCCGGGACUGCAUUGGGAACUGCCCUGCUGGAGUGCCGGAGGGGCAGGCGGAAUUCCUAGUGUAGCGGUGAAAUGCGUAGAUAUUAGGAGGAACACCAGUGGCGAAGGCGGCCUGCUGGACGGUGACUGACGCUGAGGCUCGAAAGCGUGGGUAGCAAACAGG
RNAcentral lists this ribosomal RNA (253 nucleotides) under uncultured bacterium. RNAcentral describes it as "partial 16S ribosomal RNA". It matches the Rfam family "Bacterial small subunit ribosomal RNA", at positions 524 to 776 of the family's 1533-position model. The record is from RNAcentral.